Molecule: long non-coding RNA, 391 nt
Filed under: Phascolarctos cinereus (koala)
Lineage: Eukaryota; Metazoa; Chordata; Mammalia; Diprotodontia; Phascolarctidae
Description: lncRNA (ENSPCIG00000033978.1)
Source: RNAcentral
CAGAGGAUCACACUUUUCACUGUUUUCAUUCUUUGUCCUCUUCCCCAACAACAGGUGUCCAGCUACCAAUCAGCAUUGAACUGCUCUCCUUCUGGUAGCUGGUUCAGACUGUUGCAUCCAACCAGAAGCCUCUGCAACCUGGAUUGAAGCCAAAGGCAGACACCAGAAUCAGCAAAGUAUUUCGAAAGAUCUUCAGUUUCAGUGGUGUGAGGAAUGGCAAUAACAUAUUAGCUACAUCACAGGUGUGUCUUAAAGAAAAAGCUUUCAGUAUGAAGAUGUCUGGAUUCCAUCCUUCACAUAUGAUUGUUGCUAGGUGAUAAGAGACCCAGAAGUUCACAAGAGAGGAAAUCCAAGAAAUGAGCCAGCAAUAAAAUCAUCAGUUGUAUACUCA